This 850-nucleotide long non-coding RNA is filed under the name Geospiza fortis (medium ground-finch). RNAcentral's name for it is "lncRNA (ENSGFOG00000009341.1)". The record is from RNAcentral. Lineage: Eukaryota; Metazoa; Chordata; Aves; Passeriformes; Thraupidae.
GCGAGCGCCGCCGCUCCCGGGGCCGGGGGAUGGCCGGGGAUGGAGCCGGGAGCCCGGGGCAGCAGCCAGGUACCGAUCCCGGGGGCACAGGGACCCCAGCCCCGUCUGCCGGGGGGCAGCCAGGAAAUGUCCCAGAGCCCUGGAGAGCCGGAGCCCAGCUCGGUGACGGGGCUGUGUGGGCACAGCCUGGCCCUGCUCCUGUCCCCACGCAGCUGCAGCCAGGAGCUCUGGGCUCGCCCAGGAGCCGAUCCCGAGGGGUUGCCCAUGGAAUAGGCGCUUUUCCAGGUGCCUGGGCACACGAGAGGCUGAAGUUGGUCGCCCCGGGGCACCCGAACCUGCCCUGCCCUGGAGCCCCCGGCCUCUGCCAUGAAUGAUGCAUCCACCAUGGAUUAUGAACUGCUCUCCCCGUCCCUGGUGGAGCACCCCGCCGGCGCCGCGGGCAUGGAUGCCGAGCAGAAAACUGUCUUUGCCUUCGUCAUCUUCCUCCUGGUGUUCCUGGUGAUGCUGAUGGUGCGCUGCUUCCGCAUCCUGCUGGACCCCUACAGCCGCAUGCCCGCCUCCUCCUGGACGGACCACAAGGAGGGCUUGGAGCGGGGCCAGUUCGACUACGCCCUGGUGUGAGAGGAGCCCGGGCCGAGCUCCGGCCCCGCUCCCCCUCCAUCCCUCCCUCCUUCCCUCCCUCCCUCCGCAGGGAUGCUCCGGGCAGGGGGGCAAGCAGGGGGUCCGGCCCCGGGGAGGUUUUCUAGGGGUUUCUCUCUUUUCUAAGCACUUUUCAGUUCUCUCGGCAGCCCGCGGGACGCUGGGGGUUGGACGGGGGGCCUGGACGGGGACCCCGCUGCCCCCCGUGCCC